UGUUGAACGGGUGAAAUCUACAAAGAAAUAAACCACACGGAUAGCCAACUGGGCCGUUGAUCUGCUACAACCAUCCGACGAUGUAAAAUGAAAGCACACGGAUCACCCCAUUGUUGUUCGUCUACAUCUAUGCGUAUAACCCCUCCUUAAACAAAUCUCCUUUUCCAGUACUCUCGAAACAAAACCUAACGGCCGACACCAACACCCCUUACGUUAUCCACCCAUAAUAUUUGCUCUUUUCAUUUCUCCAUCGUCUCUCCCCAUUCAAAAUCUGCAACAUCAGCCGACAUCAAUACCAGUCGGCUCCUCUUCAAACUACCAUUAAGAACCACCAUGAUCUCUUCCACUCCCUUUAUCACAUCGGAGAGCUUCUCUCUCUUCUUCGUUAUUGAUCUUGUCAAAACCCUAGAUCUAAAAACAAAUCCAUCUUAAGAUUUGUUGGUUCGAUUUUAGUUUCUACCAAUUCUGUUAGUCGCUGCCUUGCUCCAACACAGUUACAGUUGCUCAUAUCUAUGCACCAACACACAUGAAUUAAGUUUCCUAUAUCGUGACACAAAAGCAAGGUUAUUAGAUCCAGUUAUUGUUUGUCUUACCUGGUUAGAAGUUCCUUAUUUUAUUGAGUUUUUAUGUAUGUUUUUUGUUUGUUCUCUUAUGGAUUUCUACUCUAACCUAACCCUCUUGCCCAUGUCUCUGUAUUCUACUGAAGAGUGCAAGGAAUAUAUGGAAGAAAGUAGACACAGAUUAGGCAAUGACUUUUAAACAUUGAAUUCUUUACAAAUAUGUUUGUUUCUUCUUCGAUUAUGCUAUUUUUCAAGCAUUUAAACCAUGUUUGCAUUAUUUAUGUCUCCAUCUUUGUACAUGGGUUUAAUACAUGUAUCUAAUAGGGCUCAUGUUUUUGUUUUCAGAUUUAGCUGACUUCAUCACCCUCUGUUCCUAGAUAUGUUCUUGGACUUGAUUUUUUUUUUUUUUUUUUGUAUAUUUUGUUUUCAUGUAUUAAUAAAAAGCUAUCUAUACAUGAAUAAAAAAUGAAAUCUUCAAUGUUUGGCCA
Lactuca sativa (garden lettuce) is the source of this 1048-nucleotide non-coding RNA. The record is from RefSeq and is a predicted model, not a curated record. Lineage: Eukaryota; Viridiplantae; Streptophyta; Magnoliopsida; Asterales; Asteraceae.